GUCUAGGGCCAUACCACCCUGAAUGCGUCAGGUCUCCUCUGAUCUCAGAAGCUAAGUGGGGUCGGGCCCGGAUAGUACUUGGAUGGGACAAUAUACUAUGUUCCUGAUACC
This is a ribosomal RNA of Fukomys damarensis (Damara mole-rat), 111 nucleotides long. The record is from Ensembl. NCBI's taxonomy places the organism in Eukaryota, Metazoa, Chordata, Mammalia, Rodentia, Bathyergidae.